UAUUUGUUAUGGCUCAAUGUAUUUGUUAUGGAACAGUAAAGAUUUUUAACUUCCAGGAUCAUUAUCUGUACUAAAGGAGUAAAGGUACUUUUGUAUUAGUAUUUUUUUUUUACUCUUUUAUUUAUUUAUUUAUUUCAUCUCUUCAGCAAGCAGUGUUUUAUUACAAAGUUUGGAAAGCCAAAUGGGUAAGUCCACACUGAUCCUGGCCACCCGUUCUCCUGUGCCUUGAGUUAUAUGUCAGCUAGUUACUCCUUAAGAAUUUAUUAGGUGUUUAAGAGCUAAGGGAAGCUUUGUUUGUUUGUUCAGUCACUUCAGUUAUGUCCAGCUCUUUGUGACCAUAUGGACUGUAGCCUACCAGGCUUCUCUGUCCACGGGAUUCUCCAGUAUUCUUGCCCAGGAAAUGCCAUGGACAGAGCAGCCUGGCGGGCUAUAGUCCAAAGGGUCACAAAGAGUAGGACACGGCUGAACACACAAUGGACUGGAUUGGAUUUGGCCUAAUUCACAUAAUUCUUGUCUUCAUUCUAAGGAGAUUUGCCUGAACAGCCCCGGUUCUGCCUUCCUCAGGGUUAACCUUCCCCCAUCAUUGUGCCUAAGGCAAGGAGAAUCCAAUGGCUCAAUCAGAUGUCAGCUCCCUGUCACACUCCAUUCAGGAGAACUGUAUGCUGCAGCUGUGGGUCCUGAAUGUUUCUCCUUAUGCUAUGUAAUGAAGAGGGACACUGCAGAAAGGUGGCUGUGGGGAAAACAUCUGGAAGAAAUAAACUUCCUAGGAUCAAAGGGCUCCGUGUGCAGCCCAGAGGGUCCUCAGGGUGCUCCUCAGAGCAAACAAACAAUUCUCUUGAUGAGUCACUGCACUUUUUUUUCUGCCAGAAGCCCACAUGUGUUGCAAGAUCUCAAGGAAAAUGGGUGGAGUAUGGAGAGACGGAACAUUAAAGAAGGCAACAAGAGGGAUUUUUAAAAGAUCCUAAUCAUGUGAAUAAAGGAAAUCUCAACAUGAUUACAAUCCUUAAUAUGCCCACCAUCCUUAACAUUGUAUCACUUCUAUUGCAGCAGAUUAAAACUAUGGAUAACAAAAUAUUUUUUAAAACACACAUUACAAAAGCAGCAGGACAAAGAAAGGACGUUUGGGAUGAAUACAACACUCUGAAACAACAUAUUUUUUUUUCCUCUAACACAUGAAAAUUGGCAGAGGAGGGGGAAGCCCAGGACUAUGUCCCAAGCCCUAGCCAGUGGCAUUUUACUGAGAAAAAAAAAAGUUACUUAUGAAUCAGUACAGCCAUGCUUUGUUCUGCAUGAGUGUUUUAAUAGAGCGAGUGUAAUAUAAGGAUCAGGUGGGCUCGUGGGAAUGGAACAAAAGGUUUUGUAAAAUUAAAGCAAAAUAAUUAUAGCUCUAGGUGCAAAGCGAGCAUACUCCAGCAGUUGAUAGCGAGGACCUGCUCAGAAUGGAGAAGGGAGGGGGCAUGUUGGAAGUUUUUUUUUUUUUUUUUAUUCACUAACAAAGGCUUUUAAUAGGUAACAGUUGUAAAGCGUCUUUGAAAGUAAUUAAUGCACCCACACAAAAAUUUAUUAAAAUGAAAAUUUAAGGAAUUGUCUAAAGUGAAUUAAUUAACAAAAAAAGAACAUCAUGCCUUUCUUAUUUUUUAAAGAGGGAGAGAAGGUUAAGCAAAGC
Long non-coding RNA from Bos taurus (domestic cattle), 1666 nucleotides. Lineage: Eukaryota; Metazoa; Chordata; Mammalia; Artiodactyla; Bovidae. The record is from Ensembl.